This 443-nucleotide ribosomal RNA is filed under the name uncultured bacterium. RNAcentral describes it as "partial 16S ribosomal RNA". It matches the Rfam family "Bacterial small subunit ribosomal RNA", at positions 338 to 795 of the family's 1533-position model. The record is from RNAcentral.
CCUACGGGUGGCUGCAGUGGGGAAUAUUGGGCAAUGGGCGCAAGCCUGACCCAGCAACGCCGCGUGAAGGAAGAAGGCUUUCGGGUUGUAAACUUCUUUUAUCAGGGACGAAGCAAGUGACGGUACCUGAUGAAUAAGCCACGGCUAACUACGUGCCAGCAGCCGCGGUAAUACGGAGGUGGCAAGCGUUAUCCGGAUUUACUGGGUGUAAAGGGUGUGUAGGCGGGAAAGCAAGUCAGAUGUGAAAACCCUGGGCUCAACCUGUGGACUGCAUUUGAAACUGGUUUUCUUGAGUACUGGAGAGGCAGACGGAAUUCCUAGUGUAGCGGUGAAAUGCGUAGAUAUUAGGAGGAACACCAGUGGCGAAGGCGGUCUGCUGGACAGCAACUGACGCUGAGGCGCGAAAGCGUGGGGAGCAAACAGGAUUAGAUACCCUUGUAGUC